AAACUGUUGUCUGCUUUGUUUGUUUCCAUUUAUUUUAAUGAAUUUAUUCUUAAUAUUCUCAUUGCCUUAAGCCGAGCAGUUGAACAAACUUAUUUAACGGUGAAAGAUAUUUGGGGUGACCAAGUACAAAGCUCAAGAUGCAUGUAUUGUGUAUUUCCUCUUGUGGUGAAAGCUAAAGUAAAGUUUUGUAAGUCCUUACAAAUUUCUAGUUUUAUGGCUUUAAAUAAAAUGUUUAUUUAUACUGUGUUAUUUGCCUGGAUAACCAAUUGCUAAUAAUUGUAUGUUUAUGCUCUCAAGUGUAUCCUCAUAAUAUGUUGGUACCAGCACACAUAAACAAUCUUUCAUGUGUAUACUAGAAAGUGCUUAUUUUGCCAGUUUACAUGAUUAAUGUAAAUCCAUUUGGAAAGUGUGUUGAACACAUUUUAUAAAUAAAAAUCCAUAUGAUCAUCAAGACGAUGCUUGUUUGUGAUGAUUUAAUAGACUAUAGUAUGUUUCAUCUGACAGGAAAACAAGAGCAUUAAUGUUGCAUGAAUAACAAAAAGAAACAUGAUUAAAAAAUUAUAAAAAACAUGGAUAUUUCUGCGUAGUAUUUAUUUUACCCAUUGAGCUUAUCAUUCAAUUCAUUUUUAUUUUUUUAUUGAUAAGCUGAUCAUUUUCAAAAACCAUUAUAUUCUUCAACAUAAACGUUUUUUUAGCUUUGUAAUGUAUUGCUUGUUUGAACUUGGUGGAAGAUGGUCGUUUAAAUGGUUUCGGGACCCUGAAGCAAAACAAUGCCAGGUAAAUUACGUAUAUGUUAUUUAUUUUUGAGCUGGAAAACAAUCGUGCGUAAGUAUUUGUAGAACAUUUACUCUGACAUUGUUCUCAACAGCAACUUUUUAAAUAAAUGUUAACAUAACACACAGGGCAUCUGUCUUUCUACUUCUUAGAUUUUCUCCAUUUGCUGUAGGGUUCACAAAACAGAGUGAAUGGCGGCCUGUCUCCGUCGGAUUCCCAUUUCUCUAUGCUGAUGAGUUCUGACACAGUCGUCCUGGUAUUCACCCUCGAUUGGAUGUAAAGAGCUCGCUGGAUGACAGAUGUACAGUACACUACAUAUUGUGGCCAUGUACUGAUGUAAUAGAUAGAUGGGUGUGUUUUUAAAUGUCAGAUAAGAGAAAUGGGUGACAGAUCUUCUUGAAAUAGUUGCAAGGUAGGCGCUCAUGGAUCAUGUGCGGAAAGAAAGCGGACUGAUGCGUCGAGGGUGAAACCAAACACGCUCUAUCAGCUCAUCCAUUUAAUGCGACUUUGGAUUUAUAUUGUCUCUCUCAUCGACGUGGUUAUUAAAUUAGUGUUUGCAGCAGAGAAGGUGAAAGGAAUUUGGAGACACGAGCGUUUAUGUUGGUGUUUGAUGUUAGUAUUUUGUUUUCGUUUUUUGACAUGUUACAACAAUGUUCUUAGUGAGAUGAAUACAUCUAGGAAAAGGGGCCUUUGGAAAAACAACACAUAUCGAACGAAUGACAAGAGUGUAAUGUUUAAAUGUUUACGUAUCAAGGGUUAUGACCAGCCCCUUCUAAAUUAUAUGUUUUUGCUCUGACUUCAAUUCUGAGAGCAGCGGAAGAAUACUUAUAUAGCCCUUGAACACCUGCAGUAAAGAUGUAUCCGUGUGACCUUUAGGUAUAUUUAUAUCAUUUAGUAUACCAACAAAUGUGUUUCGAGGGGUGAAUGCGAAAAGGUUCUAAGUGACAUUAAAUAAAGAAGAAGAAGAAGAACCUUUACGCUUUCACCCCUCGACAUGUAUCCAUCCAAAUAACUAGAAGCAUGACAGUGAUCAGUCUCGUAUUUAUCACAAAUGUGUUUUACAUGUAUAUGUCCAAUAAACUAGAA
Molecule: long non-coding RNA, 1860 nt
Organism: Mya arenaria
Lineage: Eukaryota; Metazoa; Mollusca; Bivalvia; Myida; Myidae
Exons: 4
Source: RefSeq, a predicted model, not a curated record